Danio rerio (zebrafish) is the source of this 115-nucleotide non-coding RNA. The record is from Rfam. NCBI's taxonomy places the organism in Eukaryota, Metazoa, Chordata, Actinopteri, Cypriniformes, Danionidae.
GCUGGCUGCUAGCUCUCUGAAACUCUCACAUGGUCGCCAACUGAAGCUAAGCAGGGCUGUGCCCGGUCAGUACCUGGAUGGGAGACCACAUGGGAAAGCUAAGUUGCAGCCGGAA